This 780-nucleotide ribosomal RNA is filed under the name Salmonella enterica. Its description in RNAcentral is "partial 23S ribosomal RNA". It matches the Rfam family "Bacterial large subunit ribosomal RNA", at positions 566 to 1315 of the family's 2925-position model. RNAcentral also lists the same sequence under 1 other name. The record is from RNAcentral. Lineage: Bacteria; Pseudomonadati; Pseudomonadota; Gammaproteobacteria; Enterobacterales; Enterobacteriaceae.
GGAGCGUCGUUUGCGACGCCCAACACACAAAACAAGCGGUGAGUGCUUUGGGGUGGGGUGACUGCGUACCUUUUGUAUAAUGGGUCAGCGACUUAUAUUCUGUAGCAAGGUUAACCGUAUAGGGGAGCCGAAGGGAAACCGAGUCUUAACUGGGCGUUAAGUUGCAGGGUAUAGACCCGAAACCCGGUGAUCUAGCCAUGGGCAGGUUGAAGGUUGGGUAACACUAACUGGAGGACCGAACCGACUAAUGUUGAAAAAUUAGCGGAUGACUUGUGGCUGGGGGUGAAAGGCCAAUCAAACCGGGAGAUAGCUGGUUCUCCCCGAAAGCUAUUUAGGUAGCGCCUCGUGAACUCAUCUUCGGGGGUAGAGCACUGUUUCGGCUAGGGGGUCAUCCCGACUUACCAACCCGAUGCAAACUGCGAAUACCGAAGAAUGUUAUCACGGGAGACACACGGCGGGUGCUAACGUCCGUCGUGAAGAGGGAAACAACCCAGACCGCCAGCUAAGGUCCCAAAGUCACAGUUAAGUGGGAAACGAUGUGGGAAGGCUCAGACAGCCAGGAUGUUGGCUUAGAAGCAGCCAUCAUUUAAAGAAAGCGUAAUAGCUCACUGGUCGAGUCGGCCUGCGCGGAAGAUGUAACGGGGCUAAACUGUGCACCGAAGCUGCGGCAGCGACGCUUAUGCGUUGUUGGGUAGGGGAGCGUUCUGUAAGCCUGCGAAGGUGUCCUGUGAGGGAUGCUGGAGGUAUCAGAAGUGCGAAUGCUGACAUAAGUAACGAUAA